RNAcentral lists this ribosomal RNA (89 nucleotides) under Vibrio cholerae. Lineage: Bacteria; Pseudomonadati; Pseudomonadota; Gammaproteobacteria; Vibrionales; Vibrionaceae. The record is from RNAcentral.
CCUGACUCCAUCCCGAACUCAGAAGUGAAACGAAACAGCGUCGAUGGUAGUGUGGGGUCUCCCCAUGUGAGAGUAGAACAUCGCCAGGC